AGGUAAGCUACUAAGAGCGAAUGGUGGAUGCCUUGACUGGUAAAGGCGAUGAAGGACGUACUAGACUGCGAUAAGCUACGGGGAGCUGUCAAGAAGCUUUGAUCCGUAGAUUUCCGAAUGGGGCAACCCAAUGUAUAGAGAUAUACAUUACCUAUAUAGGAGCGAACGAGGGGAAUUGAAACAUCUUAGUACCCUCAGGAAAAGAAAUCAAUAGAGAUUGCGUCAGUAGCGGCGAGCGAAAGCGCAAGAGGGCAAACCCAGUGCUUGCACUGGGGGUUGUAGGACUGCAAUGUGCAAGAGGUAAGUUUAGCAGAACAUUCUGGAAAGUAUAACCAUAGAGGGUGAUAGUCCCGUAUGCGAAAAACAAACCUUAGCUAGCAGUAUCCUGAGUAGGGCGGGACACGAGGAAUCCUGUCUGAAUCCGGGUCGACCACGAUCCAACCCUAAAUACUAAUACCAGAUCGAUAGUGCACAAGUACCGUGAGGGAAAGGUGAAAAGAACUGAGGUGAUCAGAGUGAAAUAGAACCUGAAACCAUUUGCUUACAAUCAUUCAGAGCCCUAUGUAGGAAUACAGGGUGAUGGACUGCCUUUUGCAUAAUGAGCCUGCGAGUUGUGGUGUCUGGCAAGGUUAAGCAAACGCGAAGCCGUAGCGAAAGCGAGUCUGAAUAGGGCGCUUAGUCAGAUGCUGCAGACCCGAAACGAAGUGAUCUAUCCAUGAGCAAGUUGAAGCUAGUGUAAGAACUAGUGGAGGACUGAACCCAUAGGCGUUGAAAAGCCCCGGGAUGACUUGUGGAUAGGGGUGAAAGGCCAAUCAAACUUCGUGAUAGCUGGUUCUCUCCGAAAUAUAUUUAGGUAUAGCGUUGUGUCGUAAUAUAAGGGGGUAGAGCACUGAAUGGGCUAGGGCAUACACCAAUGUACCAAACCCUAUCAAACUCCGAAUACCUUAUAUGUAAUCACAGCAGUCAGGCGGCGAGUGAUAAAAUCCGUCGUCAAGAGGGAAACAACCCAGACUACCAGCUAAGGUCCCUAAAUCUUACUUAAGUGGAAAACGAUGUGAAGUUACUUAAACAACCAGGAGGUUGGCUUAGAAGCAGCCAUCCUUUAAAGAAAGCGUAAUAGCUCACUGGUCUAGUGAUUUUGCGCGGAAAAUAUAACGGGGCUAAAGUAAGUACCGAAGCUGUAGACUUAGUUUACUAAGUGGUAGGAGAGCGUUCUAUUUGCG
This 1223-nucleotide ribosomal RNA is filed under the name Campylobacter jejuni. Its description in RNAcentral is "partial 23S ribosomal RNA". It matches the Rfam family "Bacterial large subunit ribosomal RNA", at positions 1 to 1249 of the family's 2925-position model. Lineage: Bacteria; Pseudomonadati; Campylobacterota; Epsilonproteobacteria; Campylobacterales; Campylobacteraceae. The record is from RNAcentral.